RNAcentral lists this ribosomal RNA (212 nucleotides) under uncultured Desulfobulbus sp. RNAcentral describes it as "partial 16S ribosomal RNA". It matches the Rfam family "Bacterial small subunit ribosomal RNA", at positions 1171 to 1381 of the family's 1533-position model. Lineage: Bacteria; Pseudomonadati; Thermodesulfobacteriota; Desulfobulbia; Desulfobulbales; Desulfobulbaceae. The record is from RNAcentral.
AAGCGGGGAUGACGUCAAGUCCUCAUGGCCUUUAUGUCCAGGGCUACACACGUACUACAAUGGCCGGUACAAAGGGCGGCGAGUCAGCGAUGACGAGCAAAUCCCGUAAAGCCGGUCUCAGUCCGGAUUGGAGUCUGCAACUCGGCUCCAUGAAGUUGGAAUCGCUAGUAAUCGUGGAUCAGAAUGCCACCGGUGAAUACGUUCCCGGCCUU